RNAcentral lists this long non-coding RNA (6095 nucleotides) under Lathyrus oleraceus (garden pea). RNAcentral's name for it is "Pisum sativum (pea) long non-coding RNA (PSAT_LNC019569)". Lineage: Eukaryota; Viridiplantae; Streptophyta; Magnoliopsida; Fabales; Fabaceae. The record is from RNAcentral.
UUCUAAUAUAAACAAACUUGACAAUAUUAAUCUUAUUAUUUUCCUUUUGCAUGUAUGAAGAAGAAUAUAAUUUUAUUAUUUUUUAAUAUAUAAAAAGUCCAUGGUUUCCUUUUUCUUUUUCUUUUUUUGAAUGGGAGCUAAUGCUUUCCUAAUAUAAAUUAAAUAGGGUUUUAGUCCUUAUGGAGUUUUAAAAAUCAAUUCCUAAAAUAAAUCAUUUAUUAAAUGUGUCAUGAAUACAUUCAUUUGCUGAUUUUUGUCUCUUCAACGCACUUAGCUUGACACUUCCAUAAAAUACUUACUAAUCAUAAGAAUUCAUUUUUUUUUUAACACACAUGUACACCUGCCCUCACUACACCUCGGUUUAAUACACCUGCUGCGCACACUACACCACGGUUUAGAAGGAAGUGGGCAAUAAUCUUUUGGACAAUCAGAAUUUUCAAAACAUUUAGGAGCAGCUGUAACGAAAAAAGAAAAUAAAAAAAUAUAAAUAUAAUGUCAUAAAAUAUUGGGUAGGAAGUAAAUAGGCAAUAAUCUUUUGGACAAUCAGAAUUUUCAAAACAUUUAGGAGCAGCUGUAACGAAAAAAGAAAAUAAAAAAAUAUAAAUAUAAUGUCAUAAAAUAUUGGGUAGGAAGUAAAUAAAGAAAUUUGAAAAGGAUAGAAAAAAUACUUACCAUCAGCAUUCAUUGCAACAACAAGUUUGAAAAGAAAGAUAAACAUAACACAAACAAACUUGACAAUUUGACCCAUAUUUCACCCCUUUGUAUGUAUAAACUAGAAUAUGAUUUUAUCACUUUAUAAGCUAAAAAGUUUAGCCCUUAUAGAGUUGUAAGUUUUUAAAAAAAAUAAGAUAUAUUAUAAUUAAAUGCUUCUUAAGUACAUCAAAGUGUUGUAUUUGUCCUUUCCACACACUUAAUAAAGAGAUCACAUAUAAGAAAUCACAUAUAAGAAAUUACUUUAUCAUAUGAAUUCAUUCAUUGUUAAUAAUAAACUUCCGUGACUUGAUAACUUUUCAUGAUUGAGAAAGGAAAAUUACAAAAGAUACCAAAACAUAGAUAUUUUCAAACAAGUUUUCACAUUAUUUGGAUAUUGGCUGAGGUGAAAUCUAUUCUAAUAGGUGCUAGUUUUUUUAAUUAAAAAAAACACACCAUCUAUCUUCUCAGUUGGGAAACCAAUAGUUAGGAAAAGUCCCGCAAGUAUAGACUUUGAUUCUCAACAUCUAUAAUUUUGUGUUUUAUUAAAUAUUAAGUUAAGUAUUUUUCUUUAAUUAAAAAUCAGACUUGUAUUUGUCAAAAAGUACGGGUGUGCAUGGUAUCCCUACGCAGGUAUGAGAUACUCAGAGGCUUUUGUAAAUGAUGGUGUUUAGGACUUGCCUCCGGCGAGAGGCCCUGUUAGGUGGUGUUUUAUGGUGGUAUGAAAGGGUCAAUUCACGUGAGGUGAGAGACUCUGUGUAUAACUAAUAUACUUAGAGUGUAAUGAUUUGUCUCUCCCGUUGAAGGAAGAAGUGAUUAAAGAGAUCCUUAGGCAUAAGGUUUGAAAAACCCUGAAUAAUGAUAAUCGCUCCCCUUGAUUGGGAAAGACUAUUGACCACCUAUUUUCAAGGGAGUCAUGGUAUGAUUUAGUCUACACAAUUAGUGGGGAGAUACUUGUAAUAUACACAUCAUUUAUCCUAAGGGUGACACCCUCAUACCCCAUAUAGGUAGCGCCCAAGAGAUGCCUUAUGGGGCGAGGAUCCCGACGUGGCUCUUAUUUAAGUCUCUCACAAAUAUAACACUACACAGUUCCUCAAACACGAGGCGUUGUAGAGGGAAAAGUAUUUUAAUUUUUUUUCAGGUUUUGUUUCGUGGUCUUGGCUGAGUCCUUUGAUAUGAGACAAAUCCCUCAAUUUGUGAUGUGUCCCUCGACUGGAGAUGACCUUUUUGAAUGGGAGGUGAAUCCCUCAACUCGGGGCGUCUCCCUCAUCUAAAGGCAUCCCUUUUAAUGGGGGCGAGCCCCUCCACCAAAAUGGUGAGUCCCUUAGUUGAAGGCGUCCUUUUUAAUUUUGUCAAAAUCAUUAUGGUGAAAUUUUGUUCUUAAGGGGACAAAUGUUGAACCGGAUGCUUAAGCUGAUGUGUUUAACAUCUUAUACCAGAAUUAAUAGAUAAUAGAAAACAAAUAAAAUAUCAUCAAACAAUUAAAGAACACAAGAGAAUUGUUAACCCACUUCAGUGUAAACAACACUUACAUCUGGGGAGCUUCCAACCCAAGAAAGGAAAUCCACUUACAGAAUUAGUACAAAGUGUCUUAGAUGAACAAUCCUAGUUAAAUGCCUCACUUCUUAAAUAUACCUGUAUAUUUCUAUUUCUGACACAUCUAAAAUAUGAGAACCCCUUAACUUUCUCUCAAUCACUAACCCUAGUGAUCACUACAAUAAUCAUAAUAUUGAAUGUUGAAUUACAACUCAACUAACAAACCAAACUCCAUGCUUUUAGAUAUGAAUGCAAGCGCUAGAGUGGUGGACAAAUAAUAACAUAAACAAAAGAGUCAAAAAUAGAAACUCUAACACAUAGAUCUUCAAUACUUGCAAACUUCAAACAUUAUGUUUGAGUCUCCUUAAAUAGAAAUUCAAUCUUCUAGGAUAUCUCUAAUGAGCAUAAGAUUUGAUCACAUCCAAAUUUGUAGAGGAUUAUGUUUUUAUUUGUUUUUCAAAAACCUCCAAAAAUAUUUGAUUUUUUUGAAUCAAAUAUAAAUCUCUAACUGAUUUGAUCCUACUAAUAUGCCAAACAAAUCUAAUUAAUUCAUUAUUAAAAGAUAACAACAAAUCUGAUAGAAACCCAACCAAAAUUUACACUCAGAACAACAUCCAUCAAGGCCUGCUGAUAUGUGCCAGAUGUUGCACACAUGUUGGAACAUCUGGUCCCACAUGUGGCCUUCCUUCACCAAAACAUCUUGCACACUCCAUGUUGUUUUACAUAAUGUAGCAAAUCCAAAAGAAACAACAAUCUUCCCUUUAGAAACUUUUAGCAAAACAACUCUUUUAAAACUUACAAGAUGUGCCAUACAAACUGAGCAACAUAAGAACACCACAAACAAAACACACAGAGCAAACAACAACAAAAGUAGCACAAAAUAAGAAUAUAUAUAUAAUGUGGUUGCUACAUAAAAAACAAAUCAAACACAAUGCUCCCAAUCAUGCAUACCCACAAUUAACCAUGCAUACCCACAUUCAAAGUUAGUAGUCAUUAGAAGUCAAUCAGGAUAGUCAGCACACACUACUACACAUCAAUCAUCAGAAUUCCCACACUCAUAGAGAUCAUCUUAUAAAUGCUCAUAGUUGAAGGCCAAAUGUCAGACCUUAUUUAAAUAUAGUUUAACUAUGAAAAUUUUGAAGCUUUGAAGCUUUGAAGUUUAAUUAAAUUUUAACAAUUAUUACAAAGAUCUAUGAGACCUUAUUUAAAUAUAAUUUAACUAUGAAAAUUUUGAAGCUUUGUAUAAUAACCCGUAUUGCACAUCCUUAAAGAUAAUUCUAAGAAUAGGCAACAUAUUUUGUCUUAUGUAAUUAUAUAUUUAAACCUGUCCUAGUUGAUAGUUUUGAGAGGCUGCAAGUGGUUCAAAACUUAGAGUUAGAUUCACCUCAUUAAAACUGAACUUCAUUGAUUUAAAACAAAUAUGGUAUUAUUAUAUAACCAGUAUCUUAGUUCAUAUAUAUACUAAUGUUCUAUUAGAAUAAUUGCAUGAAAACACAUGCAAAAAGACAAUAUCUUACUUACGAUACAAAACAAUAUUAUUAAAGUAAUGUAAAUCUAAAUCACGUUUUAGACUACAAACUACUUUUAACUUUCUCUUUAGAAUUCACCUUCAAGAUAAAUAGAAAUUUAAACGCAUGGUGAUAUGGUAAUAAAAGUAUAUACAACGGCUGAAUAUAAUGCUUAUUUUUGUUUAAUCUAAAAAAUUAGGAUACAAAAGAAAGAAAAAAAGUUCAUGGUAUUGAUGUGAAUCAAUGUAUAUUGCUAAUGCUUAUUUUUGUUUAAUCCAAAAAAUUAGGAUAAAAAAGAAAAAAAAGUUCAUGGUAUUGAUGUGAAUCAAUGUAUAUUACUGCAUAACCGGAUUCUAACGAAGUUUUAAUUGGUAAAGCGGAGUAUUAUUCAAGGAGUUCAUAAUUUAGUUUGCUCUUUCCGCUUCAAUGAGGAUGAAGAUGAAACUCAUAUGUUCUUAACUUGCAAAUUCAGCUCAAAUGUUUGGGAUAAAGUGUUUGCUUGGUUGGAUUUUGAUUUUGUAUCCAAAAUAAGUUAUAUCCCCUCUCAACUAUUUUUCUUUUGUGAGUUCGUUAAGUGUAAUUUACUGGAAAAUACAUAUUCUUUCUUCUGGUGUGUUGUCUAAUGGAUUUUGUGACUUCGCAAGAAUUCUAUUUUAUUUAAGGGCAGAGUCUUAAGACUCAUAGUUAAUAUAAUUAUUGUAAUGUGUAUUAAGCGGAUAUUCUGAUAUUGAUUCCAAAUUAAGCUCAAAUAUUCUAUAUCUCAUUCCACUAUAAGAAAUAAGCGUAUUAGCCUCAACUUUAUAGCGUCGGCCCCAACAUUGACGCUAUUCGUGUAUGAUUUGUAUAACCUAUACGAACGCUAAAAGGAUAAUUAUUUUGUUUUAAACAAUUUAAUAUAUUUAAAUAUAUUUUUUUUAUUUAUUGAAAAUAUUAACGUCGAUGUGACCGACGCUAAUGGAAUUCUAUUAAAGCACCAAACUAUUUCACUAUAUUAAUUUUAUUGAUUAGUUAGCUACUGAUAGACUGAGACUAACUAAUUUAACAUUUUUUAUUUAUUUUUGUUUGACCGCGUAGCCACGGUCGCUACGUAUUUUUCUUUCUUUAUUUAUUUGUUUAUUUUAUUUCCCUAUUUUUUUUUUCGCUUAGCGUCAAUUCUUUUUAGCUUUAUUUAUUUAUCAUUUUAAUAUUUGUGUCAGUUUAACGGAUGCUAAAAGAUUUUGUUGACUUUCAUCGGUUGAUUAUACAGUUAGUCAAGUCGACGCUACUUUGGUGCCAUUAACUUUUCCUUGGUUGACUAUAGAGUCAGUCAAGCAGACGUUACUAGAAAAUAUUGACUUUUUGUGUAGAUUAUAGAGUCGGUAAGCCGAUUCUAAACAUAUCAAUUGACUUUUUCGUUGACUUUAGAGUCCGUGUAUGCAACGUUAAAUAUAGUUGACUUUGCUAUGUUGAUUUUAGGGUUAGACAAGUAGACACUAGAGUUUUUUUUACUUUUAUAAGUUGACCUUAAUGUCGGUUGGCCGACGCUAUUAUAAAAUGUUGAUUUUUGUUUGUUGACUUUAGAGUUGGCUAGGGCACUGCUAAACAUAAUCGUUCAUGAUUUUGAAACAAUAUAGUGUCGAAUCAUUUAAUGGACUAUUAUAAAAUGUUGAUUUUUGUUUGUUGACUUUAGAGUCGGCUAAGGCACUGGUAAGCAUAAUUGUUGAUUGUUCAUGAUUUUGAAAUAAUAUAGUGUCGAAUCAUUUAAUGUCCUCUUAGUCUCGGUGCAUCUCUAGCAGAAGCUACACAGUAGCUUCGCAACUUUUAUCUAAGGCCCGACACCGACGUUAAAUACACCAUUUUUCACCUUUAACGUCUCCUUUUUCUAAUGGUGCUCGUAGGAGAAUUUAGAAUCUAAUCCAUGAUCCUAUUUUGUCCCCUAGUAGAAUAUGUUUUUUUUCUUGCUCUAGUUUUCUUAUAGUUAGGAUUGAGUAACCCUUAUACUUAUUUUAAUUCUAAUUCAAGUUGGUUAUUAAAAUAGAAAUAGCAAAAUAAUUGUAAUAAUAAACAUUUGUUACUUAAGAAAAUUGAAAUAGAAAAAUAAUUGUAAUAAUAAACAAACUUAAUUUUAAUUUUAUUAUUCUCCUUUUGGAUGUAUCAAGAAGAAUAUAAUUUUAUUAUUUUAUAAUAUAUAAAAAGCUCAUGGUUUCCUUUUUGUUUUUCUUUUUGAAUGGGAGCUAAUGCUUUCCUAAUAUAAAUUCAAUAGGUUUUAGUCCUUAUGGAGUUUUAAAAAUCAAUUCCUAAAACAAAUCAUUAUUAAAUGUAUCAUAAAACAUUCAUUGCUGAUUUUUGUCUCUUCAACGCACUUAGCUUGACACUUCCAUA